GAUGAACGCUAGCGGGAGGCUUAACACAUGCAAGUCGAGGGGUAAAUGGUAGCAAUACUAUGAGACCGGCGGACGGGUGCGUAACGCGUAUGCAACAUACCUUUAGCAGGGGGAUAGCCCGUGGAAACGCGGAUUAAUAUUCCAUAGUCCAGCAGUAUCGCAUGGUACCACUGGUAAAGAUUAAUCGGCUAAAGAUUGGCAUGCGUCUGAUUAGUUAGUUGGUAGGGUAACGGCCUACCAAGGCGACGAUCAGUAGGGGUUCUGAGAGGAUUACCCCCCACACUGGUACUGAGACACGGACCAGACUCCUACGGGAGGCAGCAGUGAGGAAUAUUGGUCAAUGGGCGGAAGCCUGAACCAGCCAUCCCGCGUGAAGGAAGACAGCCUUACGGGUUGUAAACUUCUUUUCUGUUUUGAAGAAUAAGCCCGUUGAGACGGGUGAUGCCGGUAGGACAGGAAUAAGCAUCGGCUAACUCCGUGCCAGCAGCCGCGGUAACUCGUCUCUA
RNAcentral lists this ribosomal RNA (506 nucleotides) under uncultured bacterium. Its description in RNAcentral is "bacterial SSU rRNA". It matches the Rfam family "Bacterial small subunit ribosomal RNA", at positions 28 to 537 of the family's 1533-position model. The record is from RNAcentral.